Molecule: long non-coding RNA, 252 nt
Filed under: Elaeis guineensis (African oil palm)
Lineage: Eukaryota; Viridiplantae; Streptophyta; Magnoliopsida; Arecales; Arecaceae
Description: long non-coding RNA (EGUI_LNC054805)
Source: RNAcentral
CCCAUCUCCGAUUCAUCUGACUCUGAUCCAUCCAGUCAUGAUCUCUACUAGAUCCUUGUAGUUAGUCUUGUCUUUAGUUUCUUUCUAGGAUCUAUCUUUUGAGCCAUGUAAUGAUGUUGACUGAUUGACUUUUAUAUUUUAGUAUAUAUAUUGGAACAACUAUAUGGUAUCAGUCACUUUUUGAUUAUAUAUAUAUCUACUCUUUGACUUUCAAUGAAUGACCUUCAAAUUGAGUUGCUUUUAAUUAUGUGC